This 433-nucleotide ribosomal RNA is filed under the name uncultured Helicobacter sp. RNAcentral describes it as "bacterial SSU rRNA". It matches the Rfam family "Bacterial small subunit ribosomal RNA", at positions 274 to 724 of the family's 1533-position model. The record is from RNAcentral. Lineage: Bacteria; Pseudomonadati; Campylobacterota; Epsilonproteobacteria; Campylobacterales; Helicobacteraceae.
CUAUGACGGGUAUCCGGCCUGAGAGGGUGAACGGACACACUGGAACUGAGACACGGUCCAGACUCCUACGGGAGGCAGCAGUAGGGAAUAUUGCUCAAUGGGGGAAACCCUGAAGCAGCAACGCCGCGUGGAGGAUGAAGGUUUUCGGAUUGUAAACUCCUUUUGUUAGAGAAGAUAAUGACGGUAUCUAACGAAUAAGCACCGGCUAACUCCGUGCCAGCAGCCGCGGUAAUACGGAGGGUGCAAGCGUUACUCGGAAUCACUGGGCGUAAAGAGCGCGUAGGCGGGAUAGCAAGUCAGAUGUGAAAUCCUAUGGCUUAACCAUAGAACUGCAUUUGAAACUGUUAUUCUAGAGUAUGGGAGAGGUAGGUGGAAUUCUUGGUGUAGGGGUAAAAUCCGUAGAGAUCAAGAGGAAUACUCAUUGCGAAGGCGA